Molecule: ribosomal RNA, 441 nt
Filed under: uncultured bacterium
Lineage: Bacteria
Description: bacterial SSU rRNA
Rfam family: Bacterial small subunit ribosomal RNA
Source: RNAcentral
AACGCGAAGAACCUUACCAGGUCUUGACAUACUAAUGACCGUCUUAGAGAUAAGAUUUUCCCUUCGGGGACAUUAGAUACAGGUGGUGCAUGGUUGUCGUCAGCUCGUGUCGUGAGAUGUUGGGUUAAGUCCCGCAACGAGCGCAACCCCUAUCGUUAGUUGCCAGCAUUAAGUUGGGGACUCUAACGAGACUGCCAGUGAUAAACUGGAGGAAGGUGGGGAUGACGUCAAAUCAUCAUGCCCCUUAUGACCUGGGCUACACACGUGCUACAAUGGUUGGUACAAAGAGAAGCGAAGCGGUGACGUGGAGCAAACCUCAUAAAGCCAAUCUCAGUUCGGAUUGUAGGCUGCAACUCGCCUACAUGAAGUUGGAAUCGCUAGUAAUCGCGAAUCAGAAUGUCGCGGUGAAUACGUUCCCGGGCCUUGUACACACCGUGUCGA